AGCGAACGCUGGCGGCAGGCUUAACACAUGCAAGUCGAGCGGGCACUUCGGUGUCAGCGGCAGACGGGUGAGUAACACGUGGGAACGUACCCUUCGGUUCGGAAUAACGCUGGGAAACUAGCGCUAAUACCGGAUACGCCCUUUUGGGGAAAGGUUUACUGCCGAAGGAUCGGCCCGCGUCUGAUUAGCUAGUUGGUGGGGCAAUGGCCUACCAAGGCGACGAUCAGUAGCUGGUCUGAGAGGAUGAUCAGCCACACUGGGACUGAGACACGGCCCAGACUCCUACGGGAGGCAGCAGUGGGGAAUAUGGGACAAUGGGCGCAAGCCUGAUCCAGCCAUGCCGCGUGAGUGAUGAAGGCCUUAGGGUUGUAAAGCUCUUUUGUCCGGGACGAUAAUGACGGUACCGGAAGAAUAAGCCCCGGCUAACUUCGU
RNAcentral lists this ribosomal RNA (432 nucleotides) under uncultured bacterium. RNAcentral describes it as "partial 16S ribosomal RNA". It matches the Rfam family "Bacterial small subunit ribosomal RNA", at positions 29 to 506 of the family's 1533-position model. The record is from RNAcentral.